UACGGGGGGUGCAAGCGUUGCUCGGAAUCACUGGGCGUAAAGCGUCCGCAGGCGGAACUGUGUGUCGGUGGUGAAAUCCCAGGGCUCAACCCUGGAACUGCCAUCGAAACUGCAGUUCUCGAGUACGGGAGAGGAGGGCGGAAUUCCUGGUGUAGAGGUGAAAUUCGUAGAUAUCAGGAGGAACACCUGUGGCGAAAGCGGCCCUCUGGCCCGAUACUGACGCUCAUGGACGAGAGCGUGGGGAGCAAAC
RNAcentral lists this ribosomal RNA (250 nucleotides) under uncultured bacterium. RNAcentral describes it as "partial 16S ribosomal RNA". It matches the Rfam family "Bacterial small subunit ribosomal RNA", at positions 524 to 773 of the family's 1533-position model. The record is from RNAcentral.